RNAcentral lists this ribosomal RNA (640 nucleotides) under Vishniacozyma carnescens. Its description in RNAcentral is "partial large subunit ribosomal RNA". It matches the Rfam family "Eukaryotic large subunit ribosomal RNA", at positions 37 to 665 of the family's 3401-position model. Lineage: Eukaryota; Fungi; Basidiomycota; Tremellomycetes; Tremellales; Bulleribasidiaceae. The record is from RNAcentral.
UGCAUAUCAAAAAAGCGGAGGAAAAGAAACUAACUAGGAUUCCCUUAGUAACGGCGAGUGAACCGGGAUGAGCUCAAAUUUGAAAUCUGGCGUCUUUCAGGCGUCCGAGUUGUAAUCUAUAGAGGCGUUUUCCGCGCCGGACCGCGUCCAAGUCUCUUGGAAUAGAGUAUCAAAGAGGGUGACAAUCCCGUACUUGACGCGACAACCGGUGCUCUGUGAUACGCUCUCAAUGAGUCGAGUUGUUUGGGAAUGCAGCUCUAAAUGGGUGGUAAAUUCCAUCUAAGGCUAAAUAUUGGCGAGAGACCGAUAGCGAACAAGUACCGUGAGGGAAAGAUGAAAAGCACUUUGGAAAGAGAGUUAAACAGCACGUGAAAUUGUUAAAAGGGAAACGAUUGAAGUCAGUCGUGUGGGAAGUAUUCAGCCGUCUCUGGCGGUGUAUUUGCUUCUCACGGGUCAACAUCAGUUUGAUCCGGUAGAAAAAGGCGGGAAGAAGGUGGCACCCUCGGGUGUGUUAUAGCUUCCUGUCAUAUGUGCCGGACCAGACUGAGGAACGCAGCUUGCAGCAAUGCCGGGGUUCGCCCACGUACAAGCCUUAGGAUGUUGACAUAAUGGCUUUAAACGACCCGUCUUGAACCCCGGA